This 253-nucleotide ribosomal RNA is filed under the name uncultured bacterium. Its description in RNAcentral is "partial 16S ribosomal RNA". It matches the Rfam family "Bacterial small subunit ribosomal RNA", at positions 524 to 776 of the family's 1533-position model. The record is from RNAcentral.
UACGAAGGGGGCGAGCGUUGUUCGGAAUUAUUGGGCGUAAAGGGCGCGUAGGCGGCUUUGCAAGUGACGGGUGAAAUCCCUCGGCUUAACCGAGGAACUGCCUGUCAGACUGUGAGGCUUGAGACCGGGAGAGGUGAGUGGAAUUCCCAGUGUAGCGGUGAAAUGCGUAGAUAUUGGGAGGAACACCAGUGGCGAAGGCGGCUCACUGGACCGGAACUGACGCUGAGGCGCGAAAGCGUGGGGAGCAAACAGG